Zonotrichia leucophrys gambelii is the source of this 897-nucleotide long non-coding RNA. RefSeq lists it as uncharacterized. The record is from RefSeq and is a predicted model, not a curated record. The transcript is spliced from 3 exons. Lineage: Eukaryota; Metazoa; Chordata; Aves; Passeriformes; Passerellidae.
CUCUUAUUUUGCACCUGUUAAUUAGGUAUAACUCCAUUUCUUCAUCCUCACCUCUGGACCUGAAAAGGUGCCUGAGAAAACAGCUUCAUUAAUAACCCUGAAGCAGUCACUCAGUGCUGAAGUGUCGAGCAUUAGAAGGAGUCCAUGAAGAAAUGGAAAAGCAGGAUGUUGGAGCAUGCUGACUGCAGGAUGAAAUGAAGAUCACGCUGAGCCCAGGCCCCGAGUCCCUGCAGCCACUCUGUCCUGGGAGAACGAGACUUCCUUCAGCAUUGCCUGCUGUAAUUUACAAGGGGCAAGUACAAGAUGUUCAUAAGUGGCAGGAAUUCAUUGACAUCGUGGCCAGUUCAAGAGAAAAGAGUGUGUUUGGACAAUGCAAGGAAAGGGAUGCUCUCUUAUUCCUGCUCAGAAAGACCAAGUGUCGGACCCUCUCCCAUGCUGUUGCUCUCUCCUGAGAUAUCUUCAUCAGCUGUUCAUAAAAGCCCAGCUCUGGGCAACUCAAGGUGCACUCAAAACCUUCCUCCGCCUCAAAGCACAGCCUUUGCCAUAGCCACAUUCUGGACAGUUUUGCACUGACUGUCCAGCUCCUGCCAUGACACUCAGCUUCCCUCUCUACCUUCUGCCAACAGCCCCACCACCUUCCCAACCUUCCCAACUGCCUCCCAGAUGCUGGCCCUGCUAGGUACAAAAGGAAUGACUUCAGCUAAUCUGUCAAAUAAUGGAGCAAGGAUAUUUUUCUCUGAGGAAGGUGCUCCCUCCUUCCAGCAGCCUGCAGAGCAGGAGAGGCCAGGCAGUCUCUGAGAGCUGCUCACCAGCAGAGGAGUGUGGUUUCCUUGGGAGAGUGGGAAUCCAGCAGUGUGCUUCCUGGAAAGGAAGAGCCACGCAAGGUUACAGACUUCA